Molecule: non-coding RNA, 104 nt
Organism: Tinamus guttatus (white-throated tinamou)
Lineage: Eukaryota; Metazoa; Chordata; Aves; Tinamiformes; Tinamidae
Source: RefSeq, a predicted model, not a curated record
GAUGAACUUUUAGAAAUGAUUAAAAUUACAUACUUACAUCCAUUUGUUUUUGAAAAAAGCAUUUACCUUGAGAAUCAAGGGUCAGAUUCUUUACAGAAGAGCCC